RNAcentral lists this ribosomal RNA (247 nucleotides) under uncultured bacterium. RNAcentral's name for it is "partial 16S ribosomal RNA". It matches the Rfam family "Bacterial small subunit ribosomal RNA", at positions 524 to 768 of the family's 1533-position model. The record is from RNAcentral.
UACGUAGGGACCAAGCGUUGUUCGGAUUUACUGGGCGUAAAGGGCGCGUAGGUGGCGACCCAAGUCGAUGGUGAAAGCUCGCCGCUCAACGGCGAGUCGGCCACCGAUACUGGGUUGCUCGAGCACUGUAGAGGCUAAUGGAAUUCCGGGUGUAGCGGUGGAAUGGCGUAGAGAGUCCGGAAGAACACCGGUGGCGAAGGCGGUUAGCUGGGCAGUGCUGGACACUGAGGCGCGACAGCGUGGGGAG